UCUCACAAUACAGUAGAAUGUUAAACGAUGCUAAAAAUACAAGGUAAUUUUGGAAAAAUACUAGUUUUAGGAAAAGGUCUUUAAAAUUAUGGAAAAUUUUCAUAGCUUUUUGUCCCCCCUACUCCUGUGAAUCAGAGCUGCGAGUGGGUCACUGUUUCCCAGAGCAAGGAGUGCAGGUUAGGAAUGCAGACUCCGGUUCCCACAGAGUGGGCCUAUGGGUUGUUUUGUAGAUGGUGUGGUGGGUGAGCUCAGAGGAGGGGGUGGCAUGGCCCUAAAUACAUGGCCACAAAACCCCAAUGUGCUCCGGAGGUGGUGAAAUUACAACCUAAUAAAAUUCUGGGUUAGGUUUAGAAGUAGCUAUUCAAUUCCUUUAUCAAAAGCAAAAAGGUGCUCUGAGCUGAAAUGAUUCAUUUCUGCCACAAUAGUUUACAUGUUUGGAGAGAAGUAGCCAGAAAUCAUGUUUAUACUUAAGAAGUGCCUGUCCACUCUUCAUAGUGGGUUCAGUCCGGCCCUCAAUGACAACAAAAACCCCUAUCAUUUUCUGCUGCUUGUGUGGUGGUGGAUCUCAGAAUGAGCUCCCUGCAUCCUGGGGACACAUGUCACUCUUUGGAGUUUCAAGAACUUAUCAUAGCAUCUGAUGUACAUUGCUGCUUUUAGAAGGUUUUAGUGUUUCUCUCUCUGGCUGCUUGUACUCUGGAAGUGUUGGCAUUCUCCUCUCUUUUCUCCUUCCUCCCUCCCUCCCCUCUAGUCCUCCCUUCCCCUCCUCUCUCCUGUUUCUCAGUCUAGGAUAGCAGGGCAGACAACACUUUUCAAUAGUCAUAGUGACAAUAAGCUUUGCUUUAGGUCCCAUGCAGACACCAUGCAGAUGGAAGUCUGAGUCUCUUGAGAACCCAGCUGCAAAACUCAGGCACUGCUCUUGUUUCAAAGACAAGACAGUGACAGUCAUCAGGGACAAGUUAGCAUUACUCUCUGCCCCUGACCUCAAUGUUCAGGGGCUCAGGCAGAAUUCAAGGUCACCUUGUUUGACUCCAGAGUCUACUUAAUUAAUCCAGAAGGUUUUGCUAACACACUGCCUGGCAAGAAGACCAAGAACAGCAACCACCAGAACAAGCACAGAGUUGUGGGUCCUGUCUUAGGCUGGGGCUUGAGGCAAGAAGAUUGUGUGGGACAUGAUGGGGAUGUGGUGGUGCCUGGUAACUCUCCCAGGUUGCUUGGGACUGACCAAUGUUUUAAGAUUUGGGCUGUCUGGGAUAGUUUUGAGCAAACAUCCUAGGGUAUGUUGGUCACCAUAGAAAGGACAGUCAUUGCCUGUCAACUUUUUUUCUCCCAAAGGCACACUGAAAUCCUAGGCCCUGAUCCCUGUGAAUGUGGCAUUACUUAAGGACAAUCUUACAGGUGUGGUAAUGGUACUAUGAGGUCUGCUCAGCCAGAAGAGAGCACCUCCAUGCAGAAGCUGCCCAUGCCCUUCAUCUCGUCCUUGCAGACAUUUUUCCUCCUCUUUCUGCUUGCCUCAGGCCUUACCACAGGAUCCUUGAUAAACCACAGCUAUCAGGUCUCCCUGCUCAAUCUCACACUCUAGAACAACGUCUGAGUAUCUAAAAAGAGGUCUUCCAGAAACACGCAUAUGUAGUUCUGUGUGUUCCCACUACCUUCUGUCCUUUAUGGGUUACCAGAUGUCUGUGGGAGCUCAGACUUGGUAACAUGCUCAGAUCAUUUGUACUGUUCUGACUUAUGCCAGUAAUUCCACCCCCUCCACACUGUGUCAGAAUGUGUGACAGGCAGAAGACUCCAGCACCCACCAGGCAUCUUCAACUCCUAGAUGAAUCUCAUGGGUCUUCAGGAUGGAAUCCCGUUGGUCUACUGGAGCAAAUGAGGAUUCCUCAAGGCCCAGCAGGAUCUAUCCAAACAUGCACUGAGAAUGACACAAGGAUGUGAACUAGUUUACCUCACCCCAAGCCCUCAGCCAUGAUGCUCUGCUUGCGGCAGUAGAGCAAGCUGAUGUGGGACAGGAACAGUGAACUGGGAGCCAAAGGAGACCUCUGCUCCCUCUCAGGCAUUCUUCACUGUGACGAAAAGACUGACCAAAUUUCAGCAUAUAUUUUGAAGGAAAUUCACCCUGUUAAAGCACAGCAACAAGUGUGUGCUGUCACUAUACUGAGAAAUGCAUACAGCUGCAGACCUGUGAUCUGCCUUCCCACCUGGGACCCUCAGAGCCCAUGUCGUUCCAUUCCCUAAGAUCAUCAGACAGCCUGCAUCCACUUCUGCCCACGGCCUGGCCCAAGCUGUGACCUGUCAAGUGGUCUGUCACUGAGCCUGACACUUACUGAUGUGACUAGAAUGGCUGGCCAGCAAGCCCCAAAGAGCUCUCCAGCUCUACCUCAGCACUGGGACUACAGGCAUGUGUCUCUGCACCUGGAUUUUUAUUUUUGAAUGCUGGGGAUUUGAACUCAGGCCCCCAUACUUGUGCAGUAAGCACAUUGUCCACUAAGCCUCCCCCACCCCCUUGUGUCUAAAGAUGCCUUUUCAGCUCUAUACCACAGAUCCUCCCAAGAGCCCAGAGAGUAGAAGCUGCUAUUGUCCCCAACACACAACAUGGUCUGAAGACUGUGAGGAACCUGCCUAGGGUCACAUAGCCUUCGAGCAGCAGAGCUGACAGGCAAGGCCAGGUUCUCUGCCUGUAAGUGCUGAGAGUUCAACUACAGUUCUCCUGCUCAUUGAAUACUCCACACAGAAUUUCUCAGGCUGACAUCACCCUGUCCUGCAGCAUCACACACACACACACACACACACACACACACACACAC
Long non-coding RNA from Mus musculus (house mouse), 2804 nucleotides. RefSeq annotates it as predicted gene, 40290. The record is from RefSeq and is a predicted model, not a curated record. NCBI's taxonomy places the organism in Eukaryota, Metazoa, Chordata, Mammalia, Rodentia, Muridae. The transcript has 3 exons.